GACGAACGCUGGCGGCGUGCCUAAUACAUGCAAGUUGAGCGCUGAAGGUUGGUACUUGUACCAACUGGAUGAGCAGCGAACGGGUGAGUAACGCGUGGGGAAUCUGCCUUUGAGCGGGGGACAACAUUUGGAAACGAAUGCUAAUACCGCAUAAAAACUUUAAACACAAGUUUUAAGUUUGAAAGAUGCAAUUGCAUCACUCAAAGAUGAUCCCGCGUUGUAUUAGCUAGUUGGUGAGGUAAAGGCUCACCAAGGCGAUGAUACAUAGCCGACCUGAGAGGGUGAACGGCCACAUUUGGAAUGAGACACGGCCCAAACCUCUAAGGGAGGCAGCAGGAGGGAAUCUUCGGCAAUGGACGAAAGUCUGACCGAGCAACGCCGCGUGAGUGAAGAAGGGUUUCGGAUCGUAAAACUCUGUUGGUAGAGAAGAACGUUGGGGAGAGUGGAAAGCUCAUCAAGUGACGGUAACUACCCAGAAAGGGACGGCUAACUACGUG
RNAcentral lists this ribosomal RNA (497 nucleotides) under uncultured bacterium. RNAcentral's name for it is "partial 16S ribosomal RNA". It matches the Rfam family "Bacterial small subunit ribosomal RNA", at positions 28 to 507 of the family's 1533-position model. The record is from RNAcentral.